This 439-nucleotide ribosomal RNA is filed under the name uncultured bacterium. Its description in RNAcentral is "partial 16S ribosomal RNA". It matches the Rfam family "Bacterial small subunit ribosomal RNA", at positions 338 to 795 of the family's 1533-position model. The record is from RNAcentral.
CCUACGGUAGGCAGCAGUGGGGAAUAUUGCACAAUGGGGGAAACCCUGAUGCAGCGACGCCGCGGGAGUGAAGAAGUAUUUCGGUAUGUAAAGCUCUAUCAGCAGGGAAGAAAAUGACGGUACCUGAUUAAGAAGCCCCGGCUAACUACGUGCCAGCAGCCGCGGUAAUACGUAGGGGGCAAGCGUUAUCCGGAUUUACUGGGUGAAAAGGGAGCGUAGACGGCAGCACAAGUCUGGAGUGAAAUGCCGGGGCUAACCCCGGAACUGCUUUGGAAACUGUGCAGCUAGCGUGCAGGAGAGGUAAGUGGAAUUCCUAGUGUAGCGGUGAAAUGCGUAGAUAUUAGGAGGAACACCAGUGGCGAAGGCGGCUUACUGGACUGUAACUGACGUUGAGGCUCGAAAGCGUGGGGAGCAAACAGGAUUAGAUACCCCUGUAGUC